GCCGGGCACAGUGGCACACGCCUGUAAUCCCAGUGGCUCGGGAGGCUGAGGCAGGAGGAUCACGAGCUCAAAGCCAGGCACAGCAAAAGCGAGGCCCUAAGCAACUCAGUGAGACCCUGUCUCCA
Molecule: small RNA, 125 nt
Filed under: Marmota monax (woodchuck)
Lineage: Eukaryota; Metazoa; Chordata; Mammalia; Rodentia; Sciuridae
Source: RNAcentral